This 439-nucleotide ribosomal RNA is filed under the name fungal sp. EN2. Its description in RNAcentral is "eukaryotic LSU rRNA". The stretch from base 108 to 261 matches the Rfam family "5.8S ribosomal RNA". The record is from RNAcentral. Lineage: Eukaryota; Fungi.
UUGUCUUUUGCGUACUUCUUGUUUCCUUGGUGGGUUCGCCCACCACUAGGACAAACAUAUAAACCUUUUGUAAUUGCAAUCAGCGUCAGUAACAAAUUAAUAAUUACAACUUUCAACAACGGAUCUCUUGGUUCUGGCAUCGAUGAAGAACGCAGCGAAAUGCGAUAAGUAGUGUGAAUUGCAGAAUUCAGUGAAUCAUCGAAUCUUUGAACGCACAUUGCGCCCUUUGGUAUUCCAAAGGGCAUGCCUGUUCGAGCGUCAUUUGUACCCUCAAGCUUUGCUUGGUGUUGGGCGUCUUGUCUCUAGCUUUGCUGGAGACUCGCCUUAAAGUAAUUGGCAGCCGGCCUACUGGUUUCGGAGCGCAGCACAAGUCGCACUCUCUAUCAGCAAAGGUCUAGCAUCCAUUAAGCCUUUUUUUCAACUUUGACCUCGGAUCAGG